GAGAGUUGCUGCAUGGCUGUCGUCAGCUCGUUUUGUUAAAUUUUUUUUUAAGUCUCGCAACGAGCGCAACCCCUAUCGUCUGUUGCCAGCAUUAAGUUGGGCACUCUGACGAGACUGCCUGGGUUAACCAGGAGGAAGGUGGGGAUGACGUCAAGUCCUCAUGGCCCUUAUGUCUAGGGCUACACACGUAAUACAAUGGCGCGUACAAAGGGAAGCGAACUCGCAAGGGGGAGCAAAUCUCAAAAAGCGCGUCUCAGUCCGGAUUGGAGUCUGCAACUCGACUCCAUGAAGUUGGAAUCGCUAGUA
This 306-nucleotide ribosomal RNA is filed under the name uncultured Peredibacter sp. RNAcentral describes it as "partial 16S ribosomal RNA". It matches the Rfam family "Bacterial small subunit ribosomal RNA", at positions 1033 to 1340 of the family's 1533-position model. The record is from RNAcentral. Lineage: Bacteria; Pseudomonadati; Bdellovibrionota; Bacteriovoracia; Bacteriovoracales; Bacteriovoracaceae.